ACCUUAUUUCAAACAAAAACGUUAAAAAAGGAAACAUUUAAAAGACAUCUUCUAAAUGUUCCUUUCCUGAUGAAUAAAUGAAAAAGACCCUGGGUAUGGCUUAGAGGCAUGCUUACCCAACACUGAGCCAAAAGAAAAAUACUGCCCUGGCAACUAUGAAGCUAGGAAGUCAGAACUAGAGGUUGCUUGGGAAACAACUGUCUGCUAACCUCACCUAUCUCACCUUCUCUAAUAGACUGGGAUCAAAGACGAUGUGGGUUACUACUAUAGUGACCAAGAGACAAACCUAAGGCCAGUCCUUCAUACCAUCAGCUCCCCACUGGCUUUGGGAUCCUCUCCAAUUUCAAGACUGUUGAUUGCUUAUUAAUGCAUCCUAAAUACAGAAAGUACUGACAUAAAAUAUAUUUUUUAAAAAAUGGUUAUUGGUAAGGAAGAGUUGCCAGGGUCUUAUCAUAUAGCUCAGGGCUGGCCUCAAUCUUAAUUUUCCUGUCUCUACAUUCUGAGUGCUGGGAUUAAGGGUCUGUACCACCCUGACUUCCCACAGAUUUCUUUUCUAAAAGAAUUUACAUCCAAACUUACUCUGCCACUGACUAAUUUUACAUUCUUUCUACACUGAAGACCUAAUAUAAGAUUAAAAUGAUUUUUUCUCUGGUUUCUUAUAUGUAGAUUGGAGAUUAAUAUAUUAACACCUAACAUGCUGUGAAUGCCUAAGAGAAAAGCACUGCAGUACUUUU
Long non-coding RNA from Perognathus longimembris pacificus (Pacific pocket mouse), 734 nucleotides. RefSeq lists it as uncharacterized. Lineage: Eukaryota; Metazoa; Chordata; Mammalia; Rodentia; Heteromyidae. The record is from RefSeq and is a predicted model, not a curated record. The transcript has 3 exons.